AUGGAGAGGUCAACAAUUACAGGUUCUUGUUUCCCUCUCAUUAUAUUCCUUUACUUCUUUUCAAAGCAUGACACAGAAAUUGCCAUGAGAUGGAGAAUAAUCAGUCGUCAGAAGAAAAUAGAAGACCAACUCUUACAGCUGAGUAGAAGGGAGGCAUAUGUAAGGAUUUACUAUCCAGUGGCUCUGGCAAGCUACACCAGAUCACCCUUACGUACUGGGCAGGACAUCAAAAGACUCUUUCUACAAAUGGAGCUAUGGAGCCUCCCUGGACACACAGACCCAUCCCUGCAGGGCUGCCUUACAUAUCAGAAAUGUCCAACAUGGACUGCACGGG
This 334-nucleotide long non-coding RNA is filed under the name Felis catus (domestic cat). RNAcentral describes it as "lncRNA (ENSFCAG00000042222.2)". Lineage: Eukaryota; Metazoa; Chordata; Mammalia; Carnivora; Felidae. The record is from RNAcentral.